RNAcentral lists this ribosomal RNA (497 nucleotides) under uncultured bacterium. RNAcentral describes it as "partial 16S ribosomal RNA". It matches the Rfam family "Bacterial small subunit ribosomal RNA", at positions 28 to 507 of the family's 1533-position model. The record is from RNAcentral.
GAUGAACGCUGGCGGCGUGCCUAAUACAUGCAAGUCGAGCGAACGGACGAGAAGCUUGCUUCUCUGAUGUUAGCGGCGGACGGGUGAGUAACACGUGGAUAACCUACCUAUAAGACUGUGAUAACUUCGGGAAACCGUAGCUAAUACCGGAUAAUAUUUUGAACCGCAUGGUUCAAAAGUGAAAGACGGUCUUGCUGUCACUUAUAGAUGGAUCCGCGCUGCAUUAGCUAGUUGGUAAGGUAACGGCUUACCAAGGCAACGAUGCAUAGCCGACCUGAGAGGGUGAUCGGCCACACUGGAACUGAGAAACGGUCCAGACUCCUACGGGAGGAAGCAGUAGGGAAUCUUCCGCAAUGGGCGAAAGCCUGACGGAGCAACGCCGCGUGAGUGAUGAAGGUCUUCGGAUCGUAAAACUCUGUUAUUAGGGAAGAACAUAUGUGUAAGUAACUGUGCACAUCUUGACGGUACCUAAUCAGAAAGCCACGGCUAACUACGUG